Molecule: unclassified non-coding RNA, 219 nt
Filed under: uncultured Tomentella
Lineage: Eukaryota; Fungi; Basidiomycota; Agaricomycetes; Thelephorales; Thelephoraceae
Description: sequence contains ITS2
Source: RNAcentral
ACACCUCAACUCUCAUGGUUUGCCAUGAUGAGCUUGGACUUCUGGGGGUUUUGCUGGCUUGCCGUCGGCUCCUCUCAAAUGAAUCAGCUUGCCAGUGUUUGGUGGCAUCACGGGUGUGAUAACUAUCUACGCUUGUGGUUUUCUGCCAGGUAGCCUUCAGUGAUGGAGGUUCGCUGGAGCUCAUAAACGUCUCUCCUCAGCGAAGACAGCUUUGUGAAC